RNAcentral lists this ribosomal RNA (2468 nucleotides) under Acinetobacter baumannii. RNAcentral describes it as "bacterial LSU rRNA". It matches the Rfam family "Bacterial large subunit ribosomal RNA", at positions 14 to 2519 of the family's 2925-position model. The record is from RNAcentral. Lineage: Bacteria; Pseudomonadati; Pseudomonadota; Gammaproteobacteria; Moraxellales; Moraxellaceae.
AGUGCAUGUGGUGGAUGCCUUGGCAGUCAGAGGCGAUGAAAGACGUGAUAGCCUGCGAAAAGCUCCGGGGAGGCGGCAAAUAUCCUUUGAUCCGGAGAUGUCUGAAUGGGGGAACCCACCUACUUUAAGGUAGGUAUUGCAACAUGAAUACAUAGUGUUGCAAGGCGAACGAGGGGAAGUGAAACAUCUCAGUACCCUUAGGAAAAGAAAUCAAUUGAGAUUCCCUCAGUAGCGGCGAGCGAACGGGGAUCAGCCCAUUAAGUUAUGUGUGUUUUAGUGGAACGCUCUGGGAAGUGCGAACGUAGAGGGUGAUAUUCCCGUACACGAAAGGGCACACAUAAUGAUGACGAGUAGGGCGAGGCACGUGAAACCUUGUCUGAAUAUGGGGGGACCAUCCUCCAAGGCUAAAUACUCCUGACUGACCGAUAGUGAACCAGUACCGUGAGGGAAAGGCGAAAAGAACCCCUGUGAGGGGAGUGAAAUAGAUCCUGAAACCGCAUGCAUACAAGCAGUGGGAGCACCUUCGUGGUGUGACUGCGUACCUUUUGUAUAAUGGGUCAGCGACUUAUAUUCAGUAGCGAGGUUAACCGUAUAGGGGAGCCGUAGAGAAAUCGAGUCUUAAUAGGGCGUUUAGUUGCUGGGUAUAGACCCGAAACCAGGCGAUCUAUCCAUGAGCAGGUUGAAGGUUGGGUAACACUAACUGGAGGACCGAACCCACUGUCGUUGAAAAGCCAGGGGAUGACUUGUGGAUAGGGGUGAAAGGCUAAUCAAGCCUGGUGAUAGCUGGUUCUCCCCGAAAGCUAUUUAGGUAGCGCCUCGGACGAAUACCAUAGGGGGUAGAGCACUGUUUCGGCUAGGGGGUCAUCCCGACUUACCAAACCGAUGCAAACUCCGAAUACCUAUGAGUACUAUCCGGGAGACAGACUGCGGGUGCUAACGUCCGUAGUCAAGAGGAAAACAAUCCAGACCGCCAGCUAAGGCCCCAAAAUCAUAGUUAAGUGGGAAACGAUGUGGGAAGGCAUAGACAGCUAGGAGGUUGGCUUAGAAGCAGCCACCCUUUAAAGAAAGCGUAAUAGCUCACUAGUCGAGUCGGCCUGCGCGGAAGAUGUAACGGGGCUAAAACUAUGUGCCGAAGCUGCGGAUUUGACAUUAGUCAAGUGGUAGGGGAGCGUUCUGUAAGCCGAUGAAGGUGUAUUGAGAAGUAUGCUGGAGGUAUCAGAAGUGCGAAUGCUGACGUGAGUAACGACAAAACGGGUGAAAAACCCGUUCGCCGAAAGACCAAGGGUUCCAGUCCAACGUUAAUCGGGGCUGGGUGAGUCGACCCCUAAGGCGAGGCCGAAAGGCGUAGUCGAUGGGAAAAUGGUUAAUAUUCCAUUACUUCUGUGUAAUGCGAUGAGAGGACGGAGAAGGCUAAAUCAGCCUGGCGUUGGUUGUCCAGGUGAAAGGAUGUAGGCAUGUAUCUUAGGCAAAUCCGGGGUACUCUAUGCUGAGAUCUGAUAGCAAGCUGUACUUGUACAGCGAAGUGGUUGAUGCCAUGCUUCCAGGAAAAGUCUCUAAGCUUCAGUUACACAGGAAUCGUACCCGAAACCGACACAGGUGGUCAGGUCGAGUAGACCAAGGCGCUUGAGAGAACUCUGCUGAAGGAACUAGGCAAAAUGGUACCGUAACUUCGGGAGAAGGUACGCUGUUGUUGGUGAUGGAACUCGCUUCCUGAGCUGACGACAGCCGCAGAAACCAGGCCGCUGCAACUGUUUAUUAAAAACAUAGCACUCUGCAAACACGAAAGUGGACGUAUAGGGUGUGAUGCCUGCCCGGUGCUGGAAGGUUAAUUGAUGGGGUUAGCGUAAGCGAAGCUCUUGAUCGAAGCCCCAGUAAACGGCGGCCGUAACUAUAACGGUCCUAAGGUAGCGAAAUUCCUUGUCGGGUAAGUUCCGACCUGCACGAAUGGCAUAAUGAUGGCGGCGCUGUCUCCAGCAGAGGCUCAGUGAAAUCGAAAUCGCUGUGAAGAUGCAGUGUACCCGCGGCUAGACGGAAAGACCCCGUGAACCUUUACUGCAGCUUGACACUGAACUUUGACCUUACUUGUGUAGGAUAGGUGGGAGGCUUUGAAGCUGGAACGCUAGUUCCAGUGGAGCCGUCCUUGAAAUACCACCCUGGUAAUGUUGAGGUUCUAACUCUGUCCCGUGAUCCGGGACGAGGACCGUGUCUGGUGGGUAGUUUGACUGGGGCGGUCUCCUCCUAAAGAGUAACGGAGGAGUACGAAGGUGCGCUCAGCGUGGUCGGAAAUCACGCGUAGAGUAUAAAGGCAAAAGCGCGCUUAACUGCGAGACCCACAAGUCGAGCAGGUACGAAAGUAGGUCUUAGUGAUCCGGUGGUUCUGUAUGGAAGGGCCAUCGCUCAACGGAUAAAAGGUACUCUGGGGAUAACAGGCUGAUACCGCCCAAGAGUUCAUAUCGACGGCGGUGUUU